AAACGUAGGAGGCGAGCGUUAUCCGGAUUUACUGGGCGUAAAGCGCGUGCAGGCGGCUGUGCAAGUUGGGUGUGAAAUCUCCCGGCUCAACUGGGAGGGGUCAUCCAAAACUGUGCGGCUUGAGGGCAGGAGAGGGAAGCGGAAUUCCCGGUGUAGCGGUAAUAUGCGCAGAUAUCGGGAGGAACACCAGUGGCGAAGGCGGCUUCCUGGCCUGUACCUGACGCUGAGACGCGAAAGCCAGGGGAGCGAACGGGAUUAGAUACCCCGGUAGUCCUGGCCGUAAACGAUGGAUACUAGGUGUGGGCGGCAUUGACCCCGCCUGUGCCGAAGCUAACGCGUUAAGUAUCCCGCCUGGGGAGUACGACCGCAAGGUUAAA
RNAcentral lists this ribosomal RNA (377 nucleotides) under uncultured bacterium. Its description in RNAcentral is "bacterial SSU rRNA". It matches the Rfam family "Bacterial small subunit ribosomal RNA", at positions 523 to 898 of the family's 1533-position model. The record is from RNAcentral.